Molecule: ribosomal RNA, 458 nt
Filed under: uncultured bacterium
Lineage: Bacteria
Description: partial 16S ribosomal RNA
Rfam family: Bacterial small subunit ribosomal RNA
Source: RNAcentral
CCUACGGGUGGCAGCAGUGAGGAAUAUUGGUCAAUGGGCGAGAGCCUGAACCAGCCAAGUCGCGUGAGGGAGUACUGCCCUAUGGGUUGUAAACCUCUUUUGUCGGGGAGCAAAAGCCGGACGUGUCCGGCUGUGAGAGUACCCGAAGAAAAAGCAUCGGCUAACUCCGUGCCAGCAGCCGCGGUAAUUCGGAGGGUGCGAGCGUUAUCCGGAGUUAUUGGGUUUAAAGGGGGCGCAGGCGGAUUUUUAAGUCAGCGGUAAAAUCGUGGGGCUCAACCCCAUCCAGCCGUUGAAACUGGGGAUCUAGAGUGUGCGAGAGGUAUGCGGAAUGCGUGGUGUAGCGGUGAAAUGCAUAGAUAUCACGCAGAACCCCGAUUGCGAAGGCAGCAUACCGGUGCACAACUGACGCUCAGGCACGAAAGCGUGGGUAUCGAACAGGAUUAGAUACCCCUGUAGUC